Molecule: ribosomal RNA, 404 nt
Filed under: uncultured bacterium
Lineage: Bacteria
Description: bacterial SSU rRNA
Rfam family: Bacterial small subunit ribosomal RNA
Source: RNAcentral
GAAUAUUGGACAAUGGGCGAAAGCCUGAUCCAGCAACGCCGCGUGAGGGAUGACGGCCUUCGGGUUGUAAACCUCUUUCAGCAGGGACGAAGCGAAAGUGACGGUACCUGCAGAAGAAGGACCGGCCAACUACGUGCCAGCAGCCGCGGUAAUACGUAGGGUCCGAGCGUUGUCCGGAAUUAUUGGGCGUAAAGGGCUCGUAGGCGGUUUGUCGCGUCGGGAGUGAAAACUCAGGGCUCAACCCUGAGCGUGCUUUCGAUACGGGCAGACUAGAGGUAUGCAGGGGAGAACGGAAUUCCUGGUGUAGCGGUGGAAUGCGCAGAUAUCAGGAGGAACACCGGUGGCGAAGGCGGUUCUCUGGGCAUUACCUGACGCUGAGGAGCGAAAGCAUGGGGAGCGAACAG